This 526-nucleotide ribosomal RNA is filed under the name uncultured bacterium. RNAcentral's name for it is "bacterial SSU rRNA". It matches the Rfam family "Bacterial small subunit ribosomal RNA", at positions 791 to 1310 of the family's 1533-position model. The record is from RNAcentral.
UAGUCCACGCCGUAAACGAUGGGUACUAGAUUUGGUGGGACUUGACCCCUGCCGAGUCGUAGCUAACGCGCUAAGUACCCCGCCUGGGGAGUACGGUCGCAAGACUAAAACUCAAAGGAAUUGACGGGGACCCGCACAAGCGGUGGAUCAUGUGGUUUAAUUCGAAGCAACGCGAAGAACCUUACCUGGGUUUGACAUCCCCGGACAACUCUAGAGAUAGAGCUUUCUACUUCGGUAGACCGGGUGACAGAUGCUGCAUGGCUGUCGUCAGCUCGUGUGGUGACAUGUUGGGUUAAGUCCCGCAACGAGCGCAACCCCUGUCGUUAGUUGCCAGCAUUCAGUUGGGCACUCUAGCGAGACUGCCGUGGUUAACACGGAGGAAGGUGGGGAUGACGUCAAGUCCUCAUGGCUCUUACGCCCAGGGGCUACACACGUGAUACAAUGGCCGGUACAAAGGGGUUGCGAAAGCGCGAGCUCAAGCUAAUCCCAAAAAGCCGGGUACUCAGUUCGGGAUUGAAGUCUGCAA